ACGGAGUCCUCGUUGUCGGAGGACGGGGAGGGGGACUCGGAGUCGGAGGUGCGGAAGAGGACCAUCGAGAAGGUGGGUUCGUCGGGGGGAUCGGGGUGGGGGAUGGGCGCCUGAGAUUGGGGCAAGAGCGGCGGCGGCGGCGGGGCGGCCAGGCCGUCGUGGUGGUGGUGGUGGUGGUGGUGGGGGUGGUUGCGGUGGUGGUGGAAAAGGUCGUCUUCUACCUUGUUCGGAUUCAUUCUCGAGAAAAAGGGGAAGAGCAGAAAGGAGAGAUUUUUAGAGAGAGAAAGAGAGUAAAGAUUGGAUUUUGAUCAGUGAAUUGCAGAGAGGAAGUGAGGAUUCGAGAGUGGGGGAGCAGAGCGUUGGGGGGUCUUCAGCUUCUUCUCCUCCUCCAGGCCUGACAUUUGGGGGACUCGAGGGUUUGCUCCUCUCUCUCUCUCUCCUCUCUUUCUCUCUCUACAAAGACCUGUUCCACCUGAAGUGCAAAAGUCUAACCUAUGUGUGUUUUUCUUUUCUUUGGUUGUACUUUUCCCCUUCUCUCUCUCUCUCUCUCUCUCUCUCUCUCUGGGAAAACUACCAUUUUGCGCUUUAUGAUUCACACCCAUUUCAAAUUCUGCCCCAUGACUUCAUCAUGUCCC
Molecule: long non-coding RNA, 635 nt
Filed under: Eucalyptus grandis
Lineage: Eukaryota; Viridiplantae; Streptophyta; Magnoliopsida; Myrtales; Myrtaceae
Description: long non-coding RNA (EGRA_LNC002486)
Source: RNAcentral